Molecule: long non-coding RNA, 1485 nt
Organism: Ornithodoros turicata
Lineage: Eukaryota; Metazoa; Arthropoda; Arachnida; Ixodida; Argasidae
Exons: 4
Source: RefSeq, a predicted model, not a curated record
UCCACGGAGCCGACGGCGUCCGUUUCGGACGGCUCGUGUUGUGGGAAAUUACACAAGUUCAACAUAAGAAAAGCAACUGGGAACGAGAUUACAGGAAGUGACGUCAUUUCUCAGCGUGAGGCAAGGCGGGUCGUUUUUUUGAAUACAUGCCGUAAGUUUUUUGUCUUUAUUUGAAAUAAUUUAGCGUUUUUAUUGAAAAUAACUGCUUAAUAUCGAUAGAUUAGUCGUUCCUCUACCUGCUGCAACCGUUUUUCUUUCUUUAUACACGAUUAAACUAUAGUUAACACGAUUUUGCUGCAUGUCGUCCCCAGCGACGGAUUAUUAUGCUUUUGUCAUUUUUCCUAGUCUAGUCCUCAUAUCACGGAACACACUGACGCCAAAUAUCAAUUGAUUAGUGCAUUCUGCGUCUAAAUACAUCUACUUCUCUUCAUAUAUCCGCUGUUUUAUUACAGGAUUCCCCCUUACUUCACGUUUGCUGAAGGAGCACAGAAUCCACGGCUACAUGCGCACACUAAGCAAUGCUAUAUUGUCCCUAAAUACGUUACCAAGACCAUUUCAGAAAUUGAACUCAUUUAAUUUGACUAAUGCACUACCUCACGCGACACACCUCCUGGCCCAAGCAUUUCUUCGCAUUUCAAUGUAAAGCUCACAAGAGUGUUUUUUAAUCCAGCCUUAAUAUAACUCUACUAAAGUAGUAGGCAUUAUGGUAUAUUCCAGAAAUCAGUUUCACCUCCUUUCCCCAAUUUUUUUCAUCACUCCACUCUCACACUUAACGGCAUGACACAUCUCCCAUCCACUUACCGAUGAUUCUUUCCAAUCUAAAUCAAAUUUUACUCCCCCACUGAGUCUAAAUAUAUUUAUGUUGUCUGUAACUAGAAAGCAUGCCCUGCCCUAGAAAUGAAUUUCAUGUCAUUUGUUCAAUUCUUUAUUUCCAGAAAUUACAUGGUUUGUCCUACAUUCCAUCCAAGCCGUCAGCAGAAAUUAUUGCAUGUUUUAAAAAUAUUUCUUCACUGCUCAGACUAAACAUAUAUAGAGCCUACAACUAGAAAUCAAGCUGUGCUCUAGAAAUGCAUUUAAUGCCAUUUGGUAAAUUUCUUAUGUGCAGAAAUGACACGUUUGAUCCUGCACUCCACCUCCCAAGCUGUCAUCGGAAUGUUUUGCGGCGUGUCAUCUCUCCGAACCACCUGCCGAUGUUUCUUUCCAAUGUUCAAAAUAUUUUUACCUCACACACAUUAAAGCUUUCCCCCAUACUAUAACGCCGGAUCCUUCUAAGAAAUCCCUGCAAAUAGCUCCGUUCUCCUUCAACUUCACAUAGGUGUAGAAAGAGCACUUUCAUGUACCUUCUUCCAAGCUGCAUCCUAGCCGGCUAGCCAAGGAACUAGGACAACAGAACCAUGUAACCAGCAAUUCCUGCAUCUCUUGUGUAUUCAUAUGGCAAUUUUAUUUCUAAUUCUAACCAAGAUAAACAGAUGUUUUCACAUUGUA